This 351-nucleotide unclassified non-coding RNA is filed under the name soil metagenome. RNAcentral's name for it is "partial contains 5.8S ribosomal RNA, internal transcribed spacer 2, and large subunit ribosomal RNA". The stretch from base 1 to 120 matches the Rfam family "5.8S ribosomal RNA", at positions 35 to 154 of the family's 154-position model. The record is from RNAcentral.
GAUGAAGAACGUAGCGAAAUGCGAUAAGUAAUGUGAAUUGCAGAAUUCAGUGAAUCAUCGAAUCUUUGAACGCACAUUGCGCCCGCCAGUAUUCUGGCGGGCAUGCCUGUUCGAGCGUCAUUUCAACCCUCAGGCCCCCAGUGCCUGGUGUUGGGGAUCGGCCCAGCCUUCCUGUAAGGCCGCCGGCCCCGAAAUCUAGUGGCGGUCUCGCUGUAGUCCUCCUCUGCGUAGUAGCAACACUCGCAUGCGGAGCGCGGCGCGGCCACGCCGUAAAACCCCCGACUUUCUGAACGUUGACCUCGGAUCAGGUAGGAAUACCCGCUGAACUUAAGCAUAUCAAUAAGCGGAGGA